RNAcentral lists this ribosomal RNA (476 nucleotides) under uncultured organism. RNAcentral describes it as "partial 16S ribosomal RNA". It matches the Rfam family "Bacterial small subunit ribosomal RNA", at positions 330 to 797 of the family's 1533-position model. The record is from RNAcentral.
CGUACACUCCUGCGGGAGGCAGCAGUGGGGAAUUUUAGACAAUGGGCGAAAGCCUGAUCCAGCCAUGCCGCGUGCAGGAUGAAGGCCUUCGGGUUGUAAACUGCUUUUGUACGGAACGAAACGGCCUUUUCUAAUAAAGAGGGCUAAUGACGGUACCGUAAGAAUAAGCACCGGCUAACUACGUGCCAGCAGCCGCGGUAAUACGUAGGGUGCAAGCGCUAAUCGGAAUUACUGGGCGUAAAGCGUGCGCAGGCGGUUAUGUAAGACAGUUGUGAAAUCCCCGGGCUCAACCUGGGAACUGCAUCUGUAACUGCAUAGCUAGAGUACGGUAGAGGGGGAUGGAAUUCCGCGUGUAGCAGUGAAAUGCGUAGAUAUGCGGAGGAACACCGAUGGCGAAGGCAAUCCCCUGGACCUGUACUGACGCUCAUGCACGAAAGCGUGGGGAGCAAACAGGAUUAGAAACCCUGGUAGUCCCA